Triticum dicoccoides is the source of this 418-nucleotide long non-coding RNA. RefSeq lists it as uncharacterized. NCBI's taxonomy places the organism in Eukaryota, Viridiplantae, Streptophyta, Magnoliopsida, Poales, Poaceae. The transcript is spliced from 2 exons. The record is from RefSeq and is a predicted model, not a curated record.
AGGAGUCAAAAAGGAAGAAAAAAGGCUUGCCAACCCACCAUGGCAAUCAUCAAGAGGAACACGAGGGCUGCAUGCUUGGCGGUUCUUGUGGCCAUUGCCGCAACCUUAUUAUUGUCCUCUUCAACUGUACAAGCAGAUGAGUGCAUGGUGGCGCCGGAAUGCUCGGGUCCCUACCCAGAGGUGGUAUGCCCUGAGCUAUGCGCUCGUUAUGGCUUCAACAAAGAUGGAUACUGCAAAGAAUCACAAUACUGCUGUUGUCGCGGUGCAAAAUUAGCCCAGCCAGUCUUUGCGAAUCCUAGUGUAACUCCAUAGGAGGAAACUCGAUAUGAAAUAAGUUUUUAUCAGUUAAUUCAUCUUGAUGGAUGUGGUCGAAAUUAAUGGUCAAUAUUUUAGGAUGCCCCCAAUGGAUGGGAUGAAA